RNAcentral lists this ribosomal RNA (2213 nucleotides) under Salmonella enterica. RNAcentral describes it as "partial 23S ribosomal RNA". It matches the Rfam family "Bacterial large subunit ribosomal RNA", at positions 691 to 2803 of the family's 2925-position model. The record is from RNAcentral. Lineage: Bacteria; Pseudomonadati; Pseudomonadota; Gammaproteobacteria; Enterobacterales; Enterobacteriaceae.
GGCGUUAAGUUGCAGGGUAUAGACCCGAAACCCGGUGAUCUAGCCAUGGGCAGGUUGAAGGUUGGGUAACACUAACUGGAGGACCGAACCGACUAAUGUUGAAAAAUUAGCGGAUGACCUGUGGCUGGGGGUGAAAGGCCAAUCAAACCGGGAGAUAGCUGGUUCUCCCCGAAAGCUAUUUAGGUAGCGCCUCGUGAAUUCAUCUCCGGGGGUAGAGCACUGUUUCGGCUAGGGGGCCAUCCCGGCUUACCAACCCGAUGCAAACUGCGAAUACCGGAGAAUGUUAUCACGGGAGACACACGGCGGGUGCUAACGUCCGUCGUGAAGAGGGAAACAACCCAGACCGCCAGCUAAGGUCCCAAAGUCAUGGUUAAGUGGGAAACGAUGUGGGAAGGCCCAGACAGCCAGGAUGUUGGCUUAGAAGCAGCCAUCAUUUAAAGAAAGCGUAAUAGCUCACUGGUCGAGUCGGCCUGCGCGGAAGAUGUAACGGGGCUAAACCAUGCACCGAAGCUGCGGCAGCGAACGUAUCACUUAAAGCGAUUCAGCGGGUUACGAUUGACGGAGCGAAGCGACGUCAAAGCGUAUACAAAGUCGAGUCGGUUUAAGGAUACGUUCGUUGGGUAGGGGAGCGUUCUGUAAGCCUGUGAAGGUGUGUCGUGAGGCAUGCUGGAGGUAUCAGAAGUGCGAAUGCUGACAUAAGUAACGAUAAAGCGGGUGAAAAGCCCGCUCGCCGGAAGACCAAGGGUUCCUGUCCAACGUUAAUCGGGGCAGGGUGAGUCGACCCCUAAGGCGAGGCCGAAAGGCGUAGUCGAUGGGAAACGGGUUAAUAUUCCCGUACUUGGUGUUACUGCGAAGGGGGGACGGAGAAGGCUAUGUUGGCCGGGCGACGGUUGUCCCGGUUUAAGCGUGUAGGUGUGUGUUCCAGGUAAAUCCGGUUCACUUUAACACUGAGGCGUGACGACGAGGCACUACGGUGCUGAAGCAACAAAUGCCCUGCUUCCAGGAAAAGCCUCUAAGCAUCAGGUAACAUCAAAUCGUACCCCAAACCGACACAGGUGGUCAGGUAGAGAAUACCAAGGCGCUUGAGAGAACUCGGGUGAAGGAACUAGGCAAAAUGGUGCCGUAACUUCGGGAGAAGGCACGCUGACACGUAGGUGAAGUGAUUUACUCAUGGAGCUGAAGUCAGUCGAAGAUACCAGCUGGCUGCAACUGUUUAUUAAAAACACAGCACUGUGCAAACACGAAAGUGGACGUAUACGGUGUGACGCCUGCCCGGUGCCGGAAGGUUAAUUGAUGGGGUCAGCGCAAGCGAAGCUCCUGAUCGAAGCCCCGGUAAACGGCGGCCGUAACUAUAACGGUCCUAAGGUAGCGAAAUUCCUUGUCGGGUAAGUUCCGACCUGCACGAAUGGCGUAAUGAUGGCCAGGCUGUCUCCACCCGAGACUCAGUGAAAUUGAACUCGCUGUGAAGAUGCAGUGUACCCGCGGCAAGACGGAAAGACCCCGUGAACCUUUACUAUAGCUUGACACUGAACAUUGAGCCUUGAUGUGUAGGAUAGGUGGGAGGCUUUGAAGUGUGGACGCCAGUCUGCAUGGAGCCGACCUUGAAAUACCACCCUUUAAUGUUUGAUGUUCUAACGUGGACCCGUGAUCCGGGUUGCGGACAGUGUCUGGUGGGUAGUUUGACUGGGGCGGUCUCCUCCUAAAGAGUAACGGAGGAGCACGAAGGUUGGCUAAUCCUGGUCGGACAUCAGGAGGUUAGUGCAAUGGCAUAAGCCAGCUUGACUGCGAGCGUGACGGCGCGAGCAGGUGCGAAAGCAGGUCAUAGUGAUCCGGUGGUUCUGAAUGGAAGGGCCAUCGCUCAACGGAUAAAAGGUACUCCGGGGAUAACAGGCUGAUACCGCCCAAGAGUUCAUAUCGACGGCGGUGUUUGGCACCUCGAUGUCGGCUCAUCACAUCCUGGGGCUGAAGUAGGUCCCAAGGGUAUGGCUGUUCGCCAUUUAAAGUGGUACGCGAGCUGGGUUUAGAACGUCGUGAGACAGUUCGGUCCCUAUCUGCCGUGGGCGCUGGAGAACUGAGGGGGGCUGCUCCUAGUACGAGAGGACCGGAGUGGACGCAUCACUGGUGUUCGGGUUGUCAUGCCAAUGGCACUGCCCGGUAGCUAAAUGCGGAAGAGAUAAGUGCUGAAAGCAUCUAAGCACGAAACUUGCCCCGAG